GGUUCUAUCGUCAAAUGGUUAAGACACUACAUCUUCAUUGUGGGAAUCUCAGUUCAAACCUGGGUAGGAUCA
Molecule: transfer RNA, 72 nt
Filed under: Saitoella complicata NRRL Y-17804
Lineage: Eukaryota; Fungi; Ascomycota; Saitoellomycetes; Saitoellales; Saitoellaceae
Rfam family: tRNA
About the family: Transfer RNA (tRNA) molecules are approximately 80 nucleotides in length. Their secondary structure includes four short double-helical elements and three loops (D, anti-codon, and T loops).
Source: Rfam by way of RNAcentral